AAUGGCCCUUAUCGAAGCUGCAGCAACCUCCACGUAGCUGCUGUGGUCAAAAAGAAUUGUUUGUUUUUCAUUUUUUAAAUAAACUGACAGAU
Suncus etruscus (white-toothed pygmy shrew) is the source of this 92-nucleotide small nucleolar RNA. The record is from RefSeq and is a predicted model, not a curated record. NCBI's taxonomy places the organism in Eukaryota, Metazoa, Chordata, Mammalia, Eulipotyphla, Soricidae.